UACGGGAGGCAGCAGUAGGGAAUCUUCCGCAAUGGACGAAAGUCUGACGGAGCAACGCCGCGUGAACGAUGAAGGCUUUCGGGUCGUAAAGUUCUGUUGUUAGGGAGACAAGUACCGGAGUAACUGCCGGUACCUUGACGGUACCUAACCAGAAAGCCACGGCUAACUACGUGCCAGCAGCCGCGGUAAUACGUAGGUGGCAAGCGUUGUCCGGAAUUAUUGGGCGUAAAGCGCGCGCAGGCGGUCCUUUAAGUCUGAUGUGAAAGCCCACGGCUCAACCGUGGAGGGUCAUUGGAAACUGGGGGACUUGAGUGCAGAAGAGGAGAGUGGAAUUCCACGUGUAGCGGUGAAAUGCGUAGAGAUGUGGAGGAACACCAGUGGCGAAGGCGACUCUCUGGUCUGUAACUGACGCUGAGGCGCGAAAGCGUGGGGAGCGAACAGGGAUUAGAUACC
Molecule: ribosomal RNA, 453 nt
Filed under: uncultured bacterium
Lineage: Bacteria
Description: bacterial SSU rRNA
Rfam family: Bacterial small subunit ribosomal RNA
Source: RNAcentral